AGUUUGAUCAUGGCUCAGGACGAACGCUGGCGGCGUGCUUAACACAUGCAAGUCGAGCGGUGAAGCACCUUCGGGUGUGAAUUAGCGGCGAACGGGUGAGGAACACGUGAGAAAUCUGCCUUCAACUCUGGGAUAACUCCGGGAAACCGGGGCUAAUACCGGAUAUGAGCCUUGAUCGCAUGAUCGGGGCUGGAAAGUUUUUCGGUUGAAGAUGAUCUCGCGGCCUAUCAGCUUGUUGGUGAGGUAAUGGCUCACCAAGGCGACGACGGGUAGCCGGCCUGAGAGGGCGACCGGCCACACUGGGACUGAGACACGGCCCAGACUCCUACGGGAGGCAGCAGUGGGGAAUAUUGGGCAAUGGAGGAAACUCUGACCCAGCGACGCCGCGUGAGGGAUGAAGGCCUUCGGGUUGUAAACCUCUUUCAGUAGGGAAGAAGCGAAAGUGACGGUACCUACAGAAGAAGCACCGGCUAACUAUGUGCCAGCAGCCGCGGUAAUACAUAGGGUGCAAGCGUUGUCCGGAAUUAUUGGGCGUAAAGAGCUCGUAGGUGGUUAGAUACGUCGGAUGUGAAAAUCAGGGGCUCAACCCCUGACCUGCAUUCGAUACGGUCUAGCUAGAGUGUGGUAGGGGAGACUGGAAUUCCUGGUGUAGCGGUGGAAUGCGCAGAUAUCAGGAGGAACACCGAUGGCGAAGGCAGGUCUCUGGGCCAUUACUGACACUGAGGAGCGAAAGCGUGGGGAGCGAACAGGAUUAGAUACCCUGGUAGUCCACGCCGUAAACGGUGGGCGCUAGUUGUGCGAACCUUCCACGGUUUGUGCGACGCAGCUAACGCAUUAAGCGCCCCGCCUGGGGAGUACGAUCGCAAGA
This 868-nucleotide ribosomal RNA is filed under the name uncultured Actinomycetales bacterium. RNAcentral describes it as "bacterial SSU rRNA". It matches the Rfam family "Bacterial small subunit ribosomal RNA", at positions 10 to 893 of the family's 1533-position model. Lineage: Bacteria; Bacillati; Actinomycetota; Actinomycetes; Actinomycetales. The record is from RNAcentral.